UACGGAGGGGGCCAGCGUUGCUCGGAAUCACUGGGCGUAAAGGGCGCGUAGGCGGCCGCACGAGUCGGAGGUGAAAUCCCUCGGCUUAACCGAGGAACGGCCUCCGAUACUGUGCGGCUCGAGUCCCGGAGAGGGUGGUGGAAUUCCCGGUGUAGCGGUGAAAUGCGUAGAUACCGGGAGGAACACUGGUGGCGAAGGCGGCCACCUGGACGGGUACUGACGCUGAGGCGCGAAAGCUAGGGGAGCAAACAGG
This 253-nucleotide ribosomal RNA is filed under the name uncultured bacterium. Its description in RNAcentral is "partial 16S ribosomal RNA". It matches the Rfam family "Bacterial small subunit ribosomal RNA", at positions 524 to 776 of the family's 1533-position model. The record is from RNAcentral.